RNAcentral lists this ribosomal RNA (446 nucleotides) under uncultured bacterium. Its description in RNAcentral is "bacterial SSU rRNA". It matches the Rfam family "Bacterial small subunit ribosomal RNA", at positions 329 to 792 of the family's 1533-position model. The record is from RNAcentral.
ACCCAGACUCCUACGGGAGGCAGCAGUGGGGAAUAUUGGACAAUGGGGGGAACCCUGAUCCAGCGACGCCGCGUGAGUGAAGAAGUAUUUCGGUAUGUAAAGCUCUCUCAGCAGGGAAGAAAAUGACGGUACCUGAUUAAGAAGCCCCGGCUAACUACGUGCCAGCAGCCGCGGUAAUACGUAGGGGGCAAGCGUUAUCCGGAUUUACUGGGUGUAAAGGGAGCGUAGACGGCAGCGCAAGUCCGAAGUGAAAGCCCGGGGCCCAACCCCGGGACUGCUUUGGAAACUGUGAAGCUGGAGUGCGGGAGGGGCAGGCGGAAUUCCUGGUGUAGCGGUGAAAUGCGUAGAUAUCAGGAGGAACACCGGCGGCGAAGGCGGCCUGCUGGACCGUAACUGACGUUGAGGCUCGAAAGCGUGGGGAGCAAACAGGAUUAGAUACCCCAGUA